This 487-nucleotide ribosomal RNA is filed under the name uncultured eubacterium WR1131. Its description in RNAcentral is "bacterial SSU rRNA". It matches the Rfam family "Bacterial small subunit ribosomal RNA", at positions 38 to 527 of the family's 1533-position model. The record is from RNAcentral.
GGCGGCAUGCCUUACACAUGCAAGUCGAACGGUAACAGGUUAAGCUGACGAGUGGCGAGCGGGUGAGUAAUAUAUCGGAACGUGCCCAGUAGUGGGGGAUAGCCCGGCGAAAGCCGGAUUAAUACCGCAUACGACCUACGGGUGAAAGGGGGGGAUCGCAAGACCUCUCGCUAUUGGAGCGGCCGAUAUCAGAUUAGCUAGUUGGUGGGGUAAAAGCUCACCAAGGCGACGAUCUGUAGCUGGUCUGAGAGGACGACCAGCCACACUGGGACUGAGACACGGCCCAGACUCCUACGGGAGGCAGCAGUGGGGAAUUUUGGACAAUGGACGAAAGUCUGAUCCAGCCAUGCCGCGUGCGGGAAGAAGGCCUUCGGGUUGUAAACCGCUUUUGUCAGGGAAGAAAAGUUCUGGGCUAAUAACCUGGGAUGAUGACGGUACCUGAAGAAUAAGCACCGGCUAACUACGUGCCAGCAGCCGCGGUAAUACG